GUGUGCGUGGCUUAGUGGUUAGCAUGUUCGCCUCAUACCUCCAGGGUUGGGGUUCGAUUUCCCACGUGGCCC
Molecule: non-coding RNA, 72 nt
Organism: Ameiurus melas (black bullhead)
Lineage: Eukaryota; Metazoa; Chordata; Actinopteri; Siluriformes; Ictaluridae
Source: the annotation of a GenBank genome assembly